This 782-nucleotide non-coding RNA is filed under the name Athyma selenophora (staff sergeant). Lineage: Eukaryota; Metazoa; Arthropoda; Insecta; Lepidoptera; Nymphalidae. The record is from RNAcentral.
AAAUAGAUAAAUUUUUUAUAUUUUUUAUAAUUUAUUAUAAAUUUAUUUUACAUGUAAAUUUUAGUAUAAAAUUUUAAUUAUUUAAAUAAUAAUUAAUUUAAAAUUGACAGUAAUUAAAAUUAAAAAUUUAAGAAAUUAAGAUUUAGUAAUAUAUAAAUUAAUAACUAAUUUUGUGCCAGCAGUUGCGGUUAAACAAAAGUUAAAUUAAAUUAUUUCAGUAUAUAAUAAAUAAUAAAAUAUUUAAAUUAAAUAUUAAAUUAUUAAGUGAAAUUUUAAUUUAAUUAAAAAUUAUAUUUUAAAUUAUGAUUUAAUAAAUUUUAUUAUAAACUAGGAUUAGAUACCCUAUUAUUAAAAAUUUAAUAAAAAAUACUAAAAUAGUAAAUAAAAUAUUAUUGAAACUUAAAUAAUAUGGCGGUAUUUUAGUUCAUUUAGAGGAAUCUGUCUAAUAAUUGAUAAUCCACGAAUAAAUUUACUUAAUUUAUAAUUUUGUAUAUCAUUGUUAAAAAAAUAUUUUUAAAUAAAAAUAAUAUUUUAAAAUUUAAAAUAAAAUUUAAUUCAGAUCAAGAUGCAGAUUAUAAUUAAGUUUAAGAUGGAUUACAAUAAAUUUAUUUAAACGAAAAGAAAAUUGUAAUAUUUGAUUGAAGGUGGAUUUAAAUGUAAUUUUAAUUAAUUUAUUAAAAUGAUUAAUAAUUAAAAUAUGUACAUAUUGCCCGUCACUUUCAUUUAAAAAUUGAAAUAAGUCGUAACAAAGUAGAAGUACUGGAAAGUGUUUCUAGAAUGAA